AGAGUUUGAUCCUGGCUCAGGAUGAACGCUAGCGGCAGGCUUAACACAUGCAAGUCGAGGGGCAUCGGGAGGGAAGCUCGCUUUCCUUGCCGGCGACCGGCGCACGGGUGAGUAACACGUAUGCAACCUGCCCUCUUCAGGGGGACAACCUUCCGAAAGGGAGGCUAAUCCCGCGUAUAUCGGUUUCGGGCAUCCGAGAUCAAGGAAAGAUUCAUCGGAAGAGGAUGGGCAUGCGGCGCAUUAGCUAGACGGCGGGGUAACGGCCCACCGUGGCGACGAUGCGUAGGGGUUCUGAGAGGAAGGUCCCCCACACUGGUACUGAGACACGGACCAGACUCCUACGGGAGGCAGCAGUGAGGAAUAUUGGUCAAUGGGAGAGAUCCUGAACCAGCCAAGCCGCGUGAGGGAAGACGGCCCUAUGGGUUGUAAACCUCUUUUGUCGGAGAACAAAACCCGGGACGAGUCCCGGACUGCGUGUAUCCGAAGAAAAAGCAUCGGCUAACUCCGUGCCAGCAGCCGCGGUAAUACGGAGGAUGCGAGCGUUAUCCGGAUUUAUUGGGUUUAAAGGAUGCGUAGGCGGUCCGUUAAGUCAGCGGUAAAAUUGCGGGGCUCAACCCCGUCGAGCCGUUGAAACUGGCAGACUUGAGUUGGCGAGAAGUACGCGGAAUGCGUGGUGUAGCGGUGAAAUGCAUAGAUAUCACGCAGAACUCCGAUCGCGAAGGCAGCCUACCGGCGCGCAACUGACGCUCAUGCACGAAAGCGUGGGUAUCGAACAGGAUUAGAUACCCUGGUAGUCCACGCAGUAAACGAUGAAUGCUAUCUGUCCGGCCGGAAUGACGGCUGGGUGGCACAGCGAAAGCGUUAAGCAUUCCACCUGGGGAGUACGCCGGCAACGGUGAAACUCAAAGGAAUUGACGGGGGCCCGCACAAGCGGAGGAACAUGUGGUUUAAUUCGAUGAUACGCGAGGAACCUUACCCGGGCUCAAACGACACAGGAAUACUUUUGAAAGGAAGUAGCUCUACGGAGCCUGUGUCGAGGUGCUGCAUGGUUGUCGUCAGCUCGUGCCGUGAGGUGUCGGCUUAAGUGCCAUAACGAGCGCAACCCCCAUCGCCAGUUACCAGCAAGUCAAGUUGGGGACUCUGGCGAGACUGCCGGCGCAAGCUGUGAGGAAGGCGGGGAUGGCGUCAAAUCAGCACGGCCCUUACGUCCGGGGCGACACACGUGUUACAAUGGCAGGUACAGAGAGAAGCAAUGCGGCGACGCAAAGCGGAACUUGAAAGCCUGUCUCAGUUCGGAUUGGAGUCUGCAACUCGACUCCAUGAAGCUGGAUUCGCUAGUAAUCGCGCAUCAGCCAUGGCGCGGUGAAUACGUUCCCGGGCCUUGCACUCACCGCCCGUCA
Molecule: ribosomal RNA, 1400 nt
Filed under: uncultured bacterium
Lineage: Bacteria
Description: 16S ribosomal RNA
Rfam family: Bacterial small subunit ribosomal RNA
Source: RNAcentral